This 877-nucleotide ribosomal RNA is filed under the name Bacillus tequilensis. Its description in RNAcentral is "bacterial SSU rRNA". It matches the Rfam family "Bacterial small subunit ribosomal RNA", at positions 63 to 918 of the family's 1533-position model. The record is from RNAcentral. Lineage: Bacteria; Bacillati; Bacillota; Bacilli; Caryophanales; Bacillaceae.
CGAGCGGACAGAUGGGAGCUUGCUCCCUGAUGUUAGCGGCGGACGGGUGAGUAACACGUGGGUAACCUGCCUGUAAGACUGGGAUAACUCCGGGAAACCGGGGCUAAUACCGGAUGGUUGUUUGAACCGCAUGGUUCAAACAUAAAAGGUGGCUUCGGCUACCACUUACAGAUGGACCCGCGGCGCAUUAGCUAGUUGGUGAGGUAACGGCUCACCAAGGCAACGAUGCGUAGCCGACCUGAGAGGGUGAUCGGCCACACUGGGACUGAGACACGGCCCAGACUCCUACGGGAGGCAGCAGUAGGGAAUCUUCCGCAAUGGACGAAAGUCUGACGGAGCAACGCCGCGUGAGUGAUGAAGGUUUUCGGAUCGUAAAGCUCUGUUGUUAGGGAAGAACAAGUACCGUUCGAAUAGGGCGGUACCUUGACGGUACCUAACCAGAAAGCCACGGCUAACUACGUGCCAGCAGCCGCGGUAAUACGUAGGUGGCAAGCGUUGUCCGGAAUUAUUGGGCGUAAAGGGCUCGCAGGCGGUUUCUUAAGUCUGAUGUGAAAGCCCCCGGCUCAACCGGGGAGGGUCAUUGGAAACUGGGGAACUUGAGUGCAGAAGAGGAGAGUGGAAUUCCACGUGUAGCGGUGAAAUGCGUAGAGAUGUGGAGGAACACCAGUGGCGAAGGCGACUCUCUGGUCUGUAACUGACGCUGAGGAGCGAAAGCGUGGGGAGCGAACAGGAUUAGAUACCCUGGUAGUCCACGCCGUAAACGAUGAGUGCUAAGUGUUAGGGGGGUUUCCGCCCCUUAGUGCUGCAGCUAACGCAUUAAGCACUCCGCCUGGGGAGUACGGGUCGCAAGACUGAAACUCAAAGGGAAUUGACGGGG